Molecule: ribosomal RNA, 468 nt
Filed under: uncultured bacterium
Lineage: Bacteria
Description: partial 16S ribosomal RNA
Rfam family: Bacterial small subunit ribosomal RNA
Source: RNAcentral
GACGAACGCUGGCGGCGUGCUUAACACAUGCAAGUCGAACGGAAAGGCCCUGCUUUUGUGGGGUGCUCGAGUGGCGAACGGGUGAGUAACACGUGAGUAACCUGCCCUUGACUUUGGGAUAACUUCAGGAAACUGGGGCUAAUACCGGAUAGGAGCUCCUGCUGCAUGGUGGGGGUUGGAAAGUUUCGGCGGUUGGGGAUGGACUCGCGGCUUAUCAGCUUGUUGGUGGGGUAGUGGCUUACCAAGGCUUUGACGGGUAGCCGGCCUGAGAGGGUGACCGGCCACAUUGGGACUGAGAUACGGCCCAGACUCCUACGGGAGGCAGCAGUGGGGAAUAUUGCACAAUGGGCGGAAGCCUGAUGCAGCAACGCCGCGUGCGGGAUGACGGCCUUCGGGUUGUAAACCGCUUUCGCCUGUGACAAAGCGUGAGUGACGGUAAUGGGUAAAGAAGCUCCGGCUAACUACGUG